UAGUAAUUAUGCAAAAUGUUUUAAUACAUUUCUAUAACAAACAUUCCUGAUGGCAUAGGUAUCCACCUCCAAAGUUCCCAUUAUAUCUUUUAACCAAAUUCAUUUCCCCUUGCAUUAGAGACUGUCAAGCUUCAGACGAUCAUGUGACAAGGUUUCCAGCCAGUUCCAGGUGAAGACACCACCCCGGCCAUCAAGAAGCCACCCCAUCUCCACUAGGCAGAGUAGGGCGAGAGUUCCAUGAUCUCCAACAGAUGUCCCAUGAUUCCUCAUGGUGUGCAUUCUCGCUUGCUGCAACAAGGAAAUAAACCCAACUACAAGUGUGUUCCCGGUAGUCUUUAGCUGAAGAGCAUUGAUGCUGGAGAAUCCAGAAGAAUUCAAGAGCUGGAGACAGCUUACUUGUUAGGACACUAAAAACAGACCUAUCUUUCAAGGGUGAAUUUAUAUUAGCCACAGACAGAAACUGAUGGAUAAAUAACAUUACUAAUUUAUUAAUUUAUGAAAAAGAAAGUUUAGAAGAGUCAGAAAAGGCAAACGUACAGAGUGAGAAAACAGAUGAAUGGUUUCCUGAAGCCUUCUGCGAGUAAAGGAGCUUCAUCACAUUACUGGAGAAACAUCUUUUACUUAUAAAAGAACUGGCAGUGGUCUUAUCUCUCCAUCAAUCUUGUGCUUUGCCAUGGGCCAUAGUGAGAAAAGUGCUGGCCUCUACUGCCCCAUUAGGUUUCCCAUUAGCAUCCAUUAACCAACAAUUUUUAUUUCUUGGUGUGCAGCCAGCGUUCCUUAGAAAAUGAAAAAAACACAGACAUGAUGAUGUCACCAUCUACUAAAUAUCGGCUUCCCGUCCUCAUCAAGUCUGGCUUGUCUAGCAGGACUUUCAUCAAGUAUUAAGUAUAAGGAAGAUGCCAGGAGCUCCAAUGGCACUUGGCUUAUUUGAUUUUGCUUUACAAAAAUAAACACAGUUAUUCUGGGUGAAAUUUUUAAAUUGUUUUAUCCAAAAAUCUAGAAAGAAGAAUGUAAACCAAGUGCAUUUGGCCUCCUUAGCCGGUUUUUGCAGCAUCCAUGACAGAAUUCUGAGAUUCUGAGAAGCAGGAUGGACAUGAGAAGCAGACCCCUGCGGGAAGAUGGCAGUCAACACUCCUAGCCACGCUGGGGGGAUCCCAGCCUCCUGCAUCCAUCCCUGCCAUGACUACCAGCAGCAAGUGAUGCCCCAUGCAUCCCACGGGGCGAUGCUGUUUCUCAAACGUCCACAGUUGUCAUCAGACACUAUACUGCAAUUUGGCAGUUUGGUAGAGCAAUUGUCUGCCUUUGAGAAUGACACCACACAGCAUAAGGAUAUCACUAAAGGCCAUUAACAGGCAUUUGAAGCUUCUUAAAGGUUUGGCCUUGACUCCCAUUAUUAGUUCUGGAACCUAAAAUAAAAUCCAAUAACUUUA
Long non-coding RNA from Cebus imitator (Panamanian white-faced capuchin), 1430 nucleotides. RefSeq lists it as uncharacterized. The transcript has 3 exons. The record is from RefSeq and is a predicted model, not a curated record. Lineage: Eukaryota; Metazoa; Chordata; Mammalia; Primates; Cebidae.